Molecule: ribosomal RNA, 417 nt
Filed under: Phallus impudicus
Lineage: Eukaryota; Fungi; Basidiomycota; Agaricomycetes; Phallales; Phallaceae
Description: eukaryotic LSU rRNA
Rfam family: Eukaryotic large subunit ribosomal RNA
Source: RNAcentral
CAGCUGACGGAGGAAAGACUAACAAGGAUUCCCCUAGUAACGGCGAGUGAAGCGGGAACAGCUCAAAUUUGUAAUCUGGCGGCCUUCGGUCGUCCGAGUUGUAAUCUGGAGAAGCGUUUUCAGUGCCGGCCCGCGUACAAGUCCCCUGGAACGGGGCGUCCAGAGGGUGAGAAUCCCGUCUCUGACGCGGUAUGCCGGCGCGCUGCGAUGCGCUCUCGAAGAGUCGAGUUGUUUGGGAAUGCAGCUCAAAACGGGUGGUAAAUUCCAUCUAAAGCUAAAUACUGGCGAAAGACCGAUAGCGAACAAGUACCGUGAGGGAAAGAUGAAAAGCACUUUGGAAAGAGAGUCAAACAGUACGUGAAAUUGUUGAAAGGGAAACGCUUGAAGUCAGUCGCGUCUCCCGGGACUCAGUCGCGC